UGCUCUUCCGCCAUGAUUGUGAGGUCUCUCCAGCCACGUGGAACUUUUUCAUCAGCUUUUCAUGUUUCACUGGGGAGUGCAUCCUGAGAGGUCGUCACACUAUCAUCUUGGAAGUGAAUCUCUUACAUUUCAGUUUUAAAGGGAAAAACAACAUGAACUGUUCGUCUAUCUAUAUCGUCAUUAUUUUUUACCUCAUGGAUUGAAACAAAUUUUAAAGGAAAAAAGAAUGUUAAGAAAGAGCAGCACUUACUAUCAGGGAGGCACCUCACGAGCAUUGUAAACACUCAGGCUCGCUGCUUUCUGAAGGACAUGCCAAUCAUGCACAGCACUUACUAGAAACUGCAAGACUGCACAACAUGAUGGUAUUUAUUCCAGGAACAGGAGCCAGUCCUGGGCACACACAUAAAGGGACUUCCUUCACUCCCCAGAAGAAGAGAAAGCAUGCUGACACACAUCUGCCCAAGCAAUCAGAAGGCAGCUAAAGCCGCCACAGUCUUCACUCACCAACAGUUAGACCUUUUCAAUUGAUUUUAUUGAAGAAAGUGAGUGCUGAGCACCAUGAGUUCUCAUAAACAAUCCAUUUUGGCAAAUGCUUUAAGAAUGUUGGUUAAUUGCAGUUAGGCAGCAUCGACGUAUUUUAUUUUUUGGAAAGCAAGAAGCUGGCUUACCAACAUUAAGUUAAACAACAUGUAAGGGUUAGAAAUAUGAAUCAACAAACUAUUAGGGUGGUACCAUCUCUUUAUAAUAAAACAAUGUAGAUUGAUUAAGUAUAGCCUAAAAGUUUACCACAAAUCAUAACUACAUUUAAGCUUUGAAUUUCAUGACUAGUGAUUAAUUUUGCAUGUCAACUUGACUGAGCUUAUAGAAUGCCCAGGUAUCUGAUUAAACGUUAUUUCUGGAGGUGUCUGUGAGGGUGUUUCUGUAAGAGAUUAGCAUCUGAAGGCCAGGUGUGGUGGCUCAUGCCUGUAAUCCUAGUACUUUGGGAGGCCGAGGUGGGCAGAUUGCCUGAGCUCAGGAGUCUGAGACCAGCCUGGGCAACAUGGCAAAACACCGUCUGUACUAAAAAAUACAAAGUUUAGCCGGAUGUGGUGGCACACACCUGUAGUCCCAGCUACUAGGGAGGCUAAGGCAUGAGAAUUUCCUGAGCCUGCGAGGCGGAGGUUGUGGUAAGCCAAGAUUGUACUCCAGCCUGGGUGAUAAAGUGAGACCCUAUCUCAUAAAAAACAAAAAAACAAAAAAGAAAAAAGGAGAAGAAAGAGACACAGAUUAGCAUUUGAAUGGGUGGACUGAGUAAAGCAGAUGGCCCUCGUCAGUGUUGGUGGGAAUUGUCCUAUCCAUUGAGGGCUUAAAUGAAACAAAGACUGAGGAAGGCUGAAUUCAAUCUCUGCUGACUGCUGGGGCUGAGACAUCAAUCUUCUCCGGCUCUCAGUGCUCUUCCAGACUCAGACUGGAAUGUACACUAUCAGCUCUCCAGUUCUCAGGCCUUCAAAUUACACCUCUGGCUUUCCUGGGUCUCCAGCUUGCAGAUGGCAGAUCGUGGGACUUCAUGGGACUUCUCAGACUCCAUAACCAAGCAAGCCAUUUUACUUACUUUGGACUCAUUUUCUUAAUCCAAAAAUGGAAGUAAGGCUUGUCAUCUGUCUUAUUCAUAGUCACAGGGCUGAGGAGCUACAGUCUAAAUGCAUACGCAUGUUGGGAACCGAAGUCAGCCAUCUUCCCUAGGACAAAUCUUUACUCUUCUAAAGAAGGACAAGAAUAAGGUCUACUUUCAGCUAACCAUUUAUAAGGUUCAGUUUUCAUUGGAUCAAAGGAAUAUAAUCUAAUACUUUUUAAAUGGGGUCAAAACAGUAUUAUAAGGAAAAUAUUUACUGCAAAUAUUUAUAAUUGUGUAAGGAGAAUCAUUCUUUUUAAAAUCAAGUUGUGUUUUAGCUUUAGAAUCUUUUAAAAUCACAAGUAUUUGAGAAUCCAUCCCCACAAAAAUUAAAAAAUACUAUAUUAGUUAUUUUAAACAGUAUUCAUUACUUUUACUGUUUAUGUUAUAAUAAACUUAUGUAUAUAAACAUUUGAAUAUGCAUGGUACAAAGUACAAGUACAGAACAUGUAGUAAGUAGUAUGUGCAUGUAUGUGUGUGUGUGCAUAUCGUAUAAAAAUAUGAGAAAAAUUUUACUUAUAUAAAAACAUAUAUAUAAAUAAGUGUUCAGGAGAGUUUUUGAGAAUCUGCUUUACAUACUGCAAUUUUGAGUGAAAAUUAUGGAUAUUAAUUUCCUGAUUAAAGGAACUGUGUCUUCUCAUGAUGAGUCCUAAAAAUAAGCCAAAAUACUACUUAAUCUCCAUCACUUUUUUUCUUAAUUACUGGCUGACUUUUUUUCUGCGUGAAAUGGCAUUACAAUGGCAGGGAAAUUUAAUAAUGCAAAAAUCACUUUUGAAAAUGAGAAAGAAUAAUUCUAGUUACCUUUUAAAUUGAUACUUUUAAAGAGAAAUUCAAAUCAAAAAUAAAUAAAUUAAAGUCUGAGACCAAUUUGCCACUGUGAAUAUAAGCACAUUAACCCCAGGAAGAGCCAAGAACUACACAAACCUCUCUAUGAGAAUUUACCAGUCUUCUUUCAUUUGGCAAGAAAAAGCUCAGGAAAAUUUGCUUGUUUAAAUUCUAUGAGCCUAGUCUAUGGGGAAAAAAAAAAUAGGAAUAUGAAAGAAAUUCUUACCUCCAGCAACAUAUCAUAGGGAGAGAUGUGGACAAAUGAACAAUAUUUACUGGAAAUAGGAAUUAUAAAUCAAAUUUUGAAAACCCUAUGCUAAGGAAGGAAGGAGUUAUUAUAAAUUCACUCAGAGACCCAAACGUUAGGUUCAGCUAAAGAAAUGUCAGUCUUGGAUAUAUAUUAAAUGUUUUCAAGAGCAAAAUUGAAAUUACUGAAUUGGAAAUGCUCCAAAUUAUAGGUCAUCAUUUCUACUUUGGACAAUUUUUUAUGAAU
RNAcentral lists this long non-coding RNA (2969 nucleotides) under Homo sapiens (human). RNAcentral's name for it is "PREDICTED lncRNA (TCONS_00203003)". Lineage: Eukaryota; Metazoa; Chordata; Mammalia; Primates; Hominidae. The record is from RNAcentral.